UACGAGGGGGGCUAGCGUUGCUCGGAAUCACUGGGCGUAAAGGGUGCGUAGGCGGGUCUUUAAGUCAGGGGUGAAAUUCUGGGGCCCAACUCCGGAACUGCCUUUGAUACUGAGGAUCUUGGGUUCGGGAGAGGUGAGUGGAACUGCGAGUGUAGAGGUGAAAUUCGUAGAUAUUCGCAAGAACACCAGUGGCGAAGGCGGCUCACUGGCCCGAUACUGACGCUGGGGCACGAAAGCGUGGGGAGCAAACAGG
Molecule: ribosomal RNA, 253 nt
Filed under: uncultured bacterium
Lineage: Bacteria
Description: partial 16S ribosomal RNA
Rfam family: Bacterial small subunit ribosomal RNA
Source: RNAcentral